Lepisosteus oculatus (spotted gar) is the source of this 98-nucleotide microRNA precursor. It matches the Rfam family "mir-210 microRNA precursor family". Lineage: Eukaryota; Metazoa; Chordata; Actinopteri; Semionotiformes; Lepisosteidae. The record is from Rfam.
UCCAGAGGCAGGUAAGCCACUGACUAACGCACAUUGCGCUUGUACUGGACUCCACUGUGCGUGUGACAGCGGCUAACCUGCCUCUAGGGUGUCGGUCU